RNAcentral lists this ribosomal RNA (253 nucleotides) under uncultured bacterium. RNAcentral describes it as "partial 16S ribosomal RNA". It matches the Rfam family "Bacterial small subunit ribosomal RNA", at positions 524 to 776 of the family's 1533-position model. The record is from RNAcentral.
GACAGAGGGUGCAAACGUUGUUCGGAAUUACUGGGCGUAAAGCGCGUGUAGGCGGCCCUGCAAGUCGGAUGUGAAAUCCCACGGCUCAACCGUGGAAGUGCAUUCGAAACUGCAGGGCUAGAGUCCUGGAGAGGAAGGUGGAAUGCUUGGUGUAGAGGUGAAAUUCGUAGAUAUCGAGAGGAACACCUGCGGCGAAGGCGGGUUGCUGGGCUGACACUGACGCUGAGGCGCGAAAGCCAGGGGAGCGAACAGG